CACUGACCAGUUUUGCAAAAAUAGGCAAAAAAAUAAGAUUUUUCAAUGUUAAUUACUUUUAUUGGGAAAACUAGAAAUCAUAAACUUAAAAUAUUAUUAUAACUAGACGCUAAGAUUAAUAGGUAGUAUGAUAGGAAAAACAUGUGUUAUAUUAAUCAACUUUGAACGAUGCAACCCCUUCUUUUGUUAGCUUGGUGACGACUUUUCUGUGAUGCUCGACUACCCUCCACAAGAAUUGUUUUUGUUGUUCGUCCCUGACCAAUUCGUUAAACUUUUUUAUCAGAGCAAUUCCUCUUUCUGCGGUAUCAUUGACCACCUUAAGAGCGUUCACAUAGCUUCUUAGAGAAUCACUGCA
Molecule: long non-coding RNA, 355 nt
Organism: Bufo bufo (common toad)
Lineage: Eukaryota; Metazoa; Chordata; Amphibia; Anura; Bufonidae
Exons: 3
Source: RefSeq, a predicted model, not a curated record